UGCUGAAUAGAAAAUAUUGUUUCCGUGUGACUUUAUUAUAAGAUUAUUUUUUCGUUAUUAACAUUUUACAUAUUUAGAGGUGAAUGAUUAAUUAAAUAUCCUAUUUUGAUUACACAAAAAAAUCUACUAUUUUCUCCAAAGAUUUUAAUCGCAAAUUUUGAAUGGAAGAAUCAAUUGCUAAAUAUUUUUAUCUAUCGUGGUAUUUUAUACUUAAUUAAAAUAUGAAUUACUGAUGAUUACAUGUCAGCUACACUAUAUGAUAGCUCGAGUGUGCAUACUUACAAACUCAUUUUAAAUUGUAUUUCAAAUAUGAUUUUUGUUAUCUAAUUUUUCUAUUUGUUGCAUUGUAUACUUUUGCUUUUCUCAAUAAAAAAAUUGGUGGUGGUAAGUUUAUUUUAUUUCUAUCGUCAGGACUUGAGAGAAGAAAUCACUAUUAUAUUGUUAUAUUUCUAUCCUUUAUUUUUUCGUUUGUUUAAGCUAGUAGGUUCGGUUCACCCAUAGGUGUUAAACAUUGACAUGAACACUUCGACAAAUUAACACCUUUCUG
RNAcentral lists this long non-coding RNA (547 nucleotides) under Mytilus galloprovincialis (Mediterranean mussel). The record is from RNAcentral. Lineage: Eukaryota; Metazoa; Mollusca; Bivalvia; Mytilida; Mytilidae.